RNAcentral lists this ribosomal RNA (752 nucleotides) under uncultured bacterium. RNAcentral describes it as "bacterial SSU rRNA". It matches the Rfam family "Bacterial small subunit ribosomal RNA", at positions 8 to 796 of the family's 1533-position model. The record is from RNAcentral.
AGAGUUUGAUCAUGGCUCAGAAUCAACGCUGGCGGCGCGCUUAACACAUGCAAGUCGCACGAGAAAGGGAGCAAUCCUAAGUAAAGUGGCGCACGGGUGAGUAACACGUGGAUCAUCUACCUUUUAGUGGGGAAUACCUCUGGGAAACCGGAGACAAUACCGCAUAAGCCCGCAAGGGGAAAGCAGCAAUGCGCUGAAAGAGGAGUCCGCGGCCGAUUAGCUAGUUGGCGGGGUAACGGCCCACCAAGGCGAAGAUCGGUAGCCGGCCUGAGAGGGCACACGGCCACACUGGCACUGAAACACGGGCCAGACUCCUACGGGAGGCAGCAGUGGGGAAUCUUGCACAAUGGGCGAAAGCCUGAUGCAGCGACGCCGCGUGAGCGAUGAAGCCCUUCGGGGUGUAAAGCUCUUUCGACGGGAACGAUAAUGACGGUACCCGGAGAAGAAGCUGCGGCUAACUACGUGCCAGCAGCCGCGGUAAUACGUAGGCAGCGAGCGUUGUUCGGAAUUACUGGGCGUAAAGAGUGUGUAGGCGGUGUUCCCAGUCUGUUGUGAAAUCUCCCGGCUUAACUGGGAGGGUGCAGCGGAAACUAGAAUGCUAGAGGGUGGGAGAGGUAAGCGGAAUUCCUGGUGUAGCGGUGAAAUGCGUAGAUAUCAGGAGGAACACCUGGUGUAGACAGCUUACUGGACCACUUCUGACGCUGAGACACGAAAGCGUGGGUAGCAAACAGGAUUAGAUACCCCUGUAGUCC